AUGGAGCCGACCUUGAAAUACCACCCUUUAAUGUUUGAUGUUCUAACGUUGACCCGUAAUCCGGGUUGCGGACAGUGUCUGGUGGGUAGUUUGACUGGGGCGGUCUCCUCCUAAAGAGUAACGGAGGAGCACGAAGGUUGGCUAAUCCUGGUCGGACAUCAGGAGGUUAGUGCAAUGGCAUAAGCCAGCUUGACUGCGAGCGUGACGGCGCGAGCAGGUGCGAAAGCAGGUCAUAGUGAUCCGGUGGUUCUGAAUGGAAGGGCCAUCGCUCAACGGAUAAAAGGUACUCCGGGGAUAACAGGCUGAUACCGCCCAAGAGUUCAUAUCGACGGCGGUGUUUGGCACCUCGAUGUCGGCUCAUCACAUCC
Molecule: ribosomal RNA, 368 nt
Filed under: Escherichia coli
Lineage: Bacteria; Pseudomonadati; Pseudomonadota; Gammaproteobacteria; Enterobacterales; Enterobacteriaceae
Description: partial 23S ribosomal RNA
Rfam family: Bacterial large subunit ribosomal RNA
Source: RNAcentral